CCAUGGUCAUCUCCUCGAAAAAGGUCUGAUGGUUUUAGUGGACUUCCAGAAUUAACUCACCACAGAUCUCAAACCAUAUACAGGAUGGAGAGGAUACGAUCUCAUAAUCGCCCUUGUUACACUGAAGAAAUAGUGCCUAGAAGGUGUGGCUCUCCUCCCUAUGGGGCACAGUCUUCCAGUCUUUUAACGAAUAUGGAUUCUGGAAGGAUAGGUCAUCCGAGGUCUGCUAAUCCUAAUAAGAGGAGGCCAUUUGACAGGGUGUUACCUAGAAAUACUAGGAGAUUUGAUUUUAUUGAUCCUCGAGAAAGGACAGAUAACGAUGAAUAUGUCAGAGGGCCAAUUCGCCCUGGUAGAUUUAAUGAGCUAGGUGGUGAUGGAAGGGUUGAUGAGAGAAGAAAGUGUGGUGAUAGGCGUGGACUUGUUUGUUCUUUUAGACCACCUUUUAAUGGUGCUGAUGGCGAAAAUUUGCAUUUUCAUCCUGACGAUGGCCCUGGGUCUUCAAGGAUCUGUCCAGAAGCUGAUUCAGAGUUCAUUGAAAGACGGAACUUGAGGGAAAGAGAGUUUGACAGGCGGAUCAAGAAUAAACCUGGAAUUGCAUCUAGUAGAGUGAGAAGCAUGGAAGAGGAGGAAGGAAACUACAGACAUGGUGGACAGCUUUGGCAGGAUGAUGGGUUUGAUGAUGUCUCCCAAAUGAAAAGAAGAAGAUUUUAACUUAAUUUUCCUACUACUAUGAACUGGUCUAUGUGAGAGGGUGUCAGAUUAUGGAAUUUAGUUAUCUGCAUCCUCUGAUUUGCUUUCAGACACGGGAGCUGCAUGUACUUGUUGCAAGAAUGAGGGUAUCAUGAAUGUUUAGCUAUGUUGAGCAUAGGUAUGAAAAAGACGCAUUUAUUAUAAUACAAUCUGAAAUAUGCCAUAAUACACGGUGCGAAAUGCUGUUUUUCAUGGGUGCUUGAAAUUAUGGAAGUGAUUCCGAGGCAACUUUGCCUUUGAGUUUAUCGUCACUUGUGUACUAUGGUACUUAUUUGCCUGAUAUUGUGCAACCACAACUUAAGUGUAAAGCUUCUGAAAAUCCAUGCUAUUGGUUCUUAUUUGCCUAUGCACGUUAGCUGCAGAAGUCAGGAAGUUAUAUGUGGUCAUAUACUUUGUUCGCAACAAUAUAUAUCUUAUGGUCAGUUUGGUGAAGUCGG
This 1187-nucleotide long non-coding RNA is filed under the name Panax ginseng (ginseng). RNAcentral's name for it is "long non-coding RNA (PGIN_LNC012985)". Lineage: Eukaryota; Viridiplantae; Streptophyta; Magnoliopsida; Apiales; Araliaceae. The record is from RNAcentral.